GAGUAAAGAUUUCGGUCGCUUUGGGAGGAGCUCGCUUACUAUCAGCUUGUUGGUAGGGUAAUGGCCUACCAAGGCUAUGACGGUUAGGGGGUGUGAGAGCAUGACCCCCAGCAUUGGCACUGAAACACUGGCCAAACACCUACGGGUGGCUGCAGUCGAGAAUCUUCCACAAUGGGGGAAACCCUGAUGGAGCGAUGCUGCGUGCGGGAUGAAGGCCUUCGGGUUGUAAACCGCUUUUGUAGGGGACGAAAUUUUUGACGGUACCCUUUCGAAUAAGAGGUUGCUAACUCUGUGCCAGCAGCAGCGGUAAUACAGAGACCUCAAGCGUUAUCCGGAUUUACUGGGCGUAAAGCGUCUGUAGGGGGUUUAUUAAGUUCCAAGUAAAAUUUCAAGGCUCAACUUUGAAUUCGCUUGGAAAACUAAUAAACUGGAGUCUAGCAGAGGUGCAUGGAACUUGUGGUGUAGGAGUGAAAUCCGUUGAUAUCACAAGGAACACCAAAGGCGAAGGCAUUGCACUGGGCUAGCACUGACCCUGAGAGACGAAAGCGUGGGGAGCAAAACGGAUUAGAUACCCGUGUAGUCCACGCCCUAAACGAUGAAUGCUAAAUGUUCGGGGAUUCGACCUCCUGGGUGUUACAGCUAACGCGUUAAGCAUUCCGCCUGGGAAGUACGGCCGCAAGGCUAAAACUCAAAGGAAUAGACGGGGAUCCGCACAAGCGGUGGAGCGUCUGGUUUAAUUCGACAGUAAGCGUGGUACCUCACCAGGGUUUGACAUCCCUUGACAGCCUUGGAAACAAGGUUUCCUUCGGGCAAGGUGACAGGUGCUGCAUGGUCGUCGUCAGUUCGUGCCGUGAGGUGUUCCGUUAAGUCGGGAAACGAACGAAACCCCUAUUGCAUGUUACAAUUUCUCAUGCAAGACUGCCCGGAUAUACUGGGAGGAAGGUGGGGAUGACGUCAGAUCUGCAUGGUCCUUAUACCCUGGGCGACACAGGCGCUACAAUGGCAGAGACAAAGGGUUGCAAAACCGCAAGGUGAAGCUAAUCCCAAAAACUUUGUCUAAGUUCGGAUUGAAGGCUGCAAUUCGCCUUCAUGAAGCUGGAAUCGCUAGUAAUCGUGAAUCAGCCACGUCACGGUGAAUAUGUUCCCGGAUCUUGUACUCACCGCCCGUCACACCAAGAGAGUUGGUAGCUCCCGAAG
This 1197-nucleotide ribosomal RNA is filed under the name uncultured organism. RNAcentral's name for it is "bacterial SSU rRNA". It matches the Rfam family "Bacterial small subunit ribosomal RNA", at positions 199 to 1426 of the family's 1533-position model. The record is from RNAcentral.